Molecule: unclassified non-coding RNA, 315 nt
Filed under: Streptomyces turgidiscabies
Lineage: Bacteria; Bacillati; Actinomycetota; Actinomycetes; Kitasatosporales; Streptomycetaceae
Description: partial 16S-23S intergenic spacer region
Source: RNAcentral
AAGGAGCAUCUAGGCCGCCAGACAUUGUCUGGUGGUCCAGGGCCAUUACGUCGGCAUACGUUCGACGGUGGUUGCUCAUGGGUGGAACGUUGAUUAUUCGGCACUCUUGAUCGUCUUCUCCUUCCAGUACUGUCCUUCGGGGCGUGGAACGAUGAGGGAAGCGGUGAAGGGUGUCGGGCACGCUGUUGGGUGUCUGAGGGUCCGGCCGAUUGUUGGUCGCCUUCAGUGCCGGCCCCAGUGAACUCGCCCUGUAGGGGUGGGGUGGUGGGUGGUUGGUCGUUGUUUGAGAACUGCACAGUGGACGCGAGCAUCUGU